Molecule: unclassified non-coding RNA, 209 nt
Filed under: Glomeromycotina sp.
Lineage: Eukaryota; Fungi; Glomeromycota
Description: partial contains 5.8S ribosomal RNA and internal transcribed spacer 2
Rfam family: 5.8S ribosomal RNA (bases 1-71)
Source: RNAcentral
GUGAAUCAUCAAAUCUUUGAACGCAAAUUGCACUCUCUGGUAUUCCGGAGAGUAUGCCUGUUUGAGGGUCAGUUUAAAUAAAAAUCGGUUUGUUGUCUGCCUUUCUUGUUAACGAACCGGUUUUAGUUGGUUUGGCUUUCGGUUAAUUGACCUAAAAUUUUGCUGGAUUUUUUUCGAGUGUUUUUAAGUGAUUUUGCAUGCUUUUGAUA